Molecule: long non-coding RNA, 215 nt
Organism: Mauremys reevesii (Reeves's turtle)
Lineage: Eukaryota; Metazoa; Chordata; Testudines; Geoemydidae
Exons: 3
Source: RefSeq, a predicted model, not a curated record
GAGAGGAAGUGGAGGUCAGCAGUGGAAGACUAAGCAAGAGAGGGAUUUGAAGGAGAAGUGGCAAGCAGGAUCAGAGAAGAUGUAGAGAGGGGAAAGGACAGAGCUGUGCCAAGUGUCACAUCGGGAUCCAGAGUUCAGUGGCUGAGGGCCCUGGCUUCAGUAGAACUCCUAUGAUCAUGUUGCCUGGCGAAGGAGGAUUUCAGGAAAUUGCACAG